This is a non-coding RNA of Podarcis lilfordi (Lilford's wall lizard), 266 nucleotides long. NCBI's taxonomy places the organism in Eukaryota, Metazoa, Chordata, Lepidosauria, Squamata, Lacertidae. The record is from the annotation of a GenBank genome assembly.
CCUCCUCCGUAGUUGCUUUGAAGCAGGAAAGUGGGAGAGGAGCUGCUUAUACGAGUGUAAGCUGCUCCCCUCCCACUUUGCUGCUUCAAAGGGAGCCCGGGAGGAGGGAAUCCGCUGCAGCCUCAAGCAGCGAGGAGGAUCCAUGGGUCCCCUUCCUUCCCUCCUCCGUGGUUGCUUUGAAGCAGGAAAGUGGGAGAGGAGCUGCUUACACGGGUGUAAGCAGCUCCCCUCCCACUUUGCUGCUUCAAAGCGAGCCACGGAGGAGG